ACGCGACCCCGUGAGGGCAAGCCAACCACAGAAAAGCCAUCUCAGUUCGGAUUGUAGUCUGCAACCCGGCUACAUGAAGCUGGAAUCGCUAGUAAUCGCAGAUCAGAAUGCUGCGGUGAAUACGUUCCCGGGUCUUGUACACACCGCCCGUCACACCAUGGGAGUUGGAAAUGCCCGAAGCCAGUGACCCAACCGUAAGGAGGGAGCUGUCGAAGGUGGAGCCGAUGACUGGGGUGAAGUCGUAACAAGGUACC
This 254-nucleotide ribosomal RNA is filed under the name uncultured bacterium. RNAcentral describes it as "partial 16S ribosomal RNA". It matches the Rfam family "Bacterial small subunit ribosomal RNA", at positions 1247 to 1500 of the family's 1533-position model. The record is from RNAcentral.